RNAcentral lists this ribosomal RNA (608 nucleotides) under Podila minutissima. Its description in RNAcentral is "eukaryotic LSU rRNA". The stretch from base 160 to 313 matches the Rfam family "5.8S ribosomal RNA". The record is from RNAcentral. Lineage: Eukaryota; Fungi; Mortierellomycota; Mortierellomycetes; Mortierellales; Mortierellaceae.
GGAUUUCAACGAGUGUUUUAUGGCACUCUUUAAAAUCCAUAUCCACCUUGUGUGCAAUGUUUGUUGGGAAAGUCUUUUCUUUCCCUUCAUAAAUAUCAACCUAUAUCUUUAACAACAUUCGUCUGAUAACAUAUUAUGAAUAUACUUAAUUCAAAAUAUAACUUUCAACAACGGAUCUCUUGGCUCUCGCAUCGAUGAAGAACGCAGCGAAAUGCGAUACGUAAUGUGAAUUGCAGAAUUCAGUGAAUCAUCGAAUCUUUGAACGCAUAUUGCGCUCUUUGGUAUUCCGAAGAGCAUGCUUGUUUGAGUAUCAGUAAACACCUCAACCUCUCUUUUUUGAUAAAAAAAAGGGAGGGUGGACUUGAGCUAUCCCAACGACCUUCACCGGUAGGCGGGCGGCUUGAAAUGCAGGUGCAGCUGGACUUUUAUCUGAGCUAAAAGCAUAUCUAUUUAGUCCUCGUCAAACAGGAUUAUUACUUUUGCUGCAGCUAACAUAAAGGAUAAUUGUCCUCUUUGCUGACUGAUGCAGGAUUUUACGACACUUUAUGUGUUGUUCAACUCGAUCUCAAAUCAAGUAAGACUACCCGCUGAACUUAAGCAUAUCAUAG